This 35-nucleotide small RNA is filed under the name Arabidopsis thaliana (thale cress). RNAcentral describes it as "ATSL303030". Lineage: Eukaryota; Viridiplantae; Streptophyta; Magnoliopsida; Brassicales; Brassicaceae. The record is from RNAcentral.
AGUUUUUCUACCAACGACCAAAAACUAAAAAAAAA